UACGGAAGGUCCGAGCGUUAUCCGGAUUUAUUGGGUUUAAAGGGAGCGUAGGCGGAAUGCUAAGUCAGCCGUUAAAUAUCGGGGCUCAACCCCGCAGUGCGGUUGAAACUGGUGUUCUUGAGUGCACAAGAGGUAAGUGGAAUUCGUGGUGUAGCGGUGAAAUGCUUAGAUAUCACGAAGAACUCCGAUUGCGAAGGCAGCUUACUGGGGUGCAACUGACGCUGAUGCUCGAAGGUGCGGGUAUC
RNAcentral lists this ribosomal RNA (245 nucleotides) under uncultured Bacteroidales bacterium. Its description in RNAcentral is "partial 16S ribosomal RNA". It matches the Rfam family "Bacterial small subunit ribosomal RNA", at positions 524 to 769 of the family's 1533-position model. Lineage: Bacteria; Pseudomonadati; Bacteroidota; Bacteroidia; Bacteroidales. The record is from RNAcentral.